This 449-nucleotide ribosomal RNA is filed under the name uncultured bacterium. Its description in RNAcentral is "SSU rRNA". It matches the Rfam family "Bacterial small subunit ribosomal RNA", at positions 26 to 518 of the family's 1533-position model. The record is from RNAcentral.
AGAACGAACGCUGGCGGCAGGCUUAACACAUGCAAGUCGAACGGUUGUAGCAAUACAGCAGUGGCAGACGGGUGAGUAACACGUGGGAACCUUCCUAGGGGUACGGAACAACUCAGGGAAACUUGAGCUAAAUACCGUAUACGUCCGUGAGGAGAAAGAUUUAUCGCCCCUAGACGGGCCCGCGUAGGAUUAGGUAGUUGGUGAGGUAACGGCUCACCAAGCCUACGAUCCUUAGCUGAUCUGAGAGGAUGAUCAGCCACACUGGGACUGAGACACGGCCCAGACUCCUACGGGAGGCAGCAGUGGGGAAUCUUGGACAAUGGGCGCAAGCCUGAUCCAGCCAUGCCGCGUGAGUGAAGAAGGCCUUCGGGUUGUAAAGCUCUUUUACCAGGGACGAUAAUGACGGUACCUGGAGAAUAAGCCCCGGCAAACUUCGUGCCAGCAGCCGC